GGGUUCCUGGCAUGCUGAUUUGUGACUUAAGAUUAAAAUCACAUUGCCAGGGAUUACCACG
RNAcentral lists this microRNA precursor (61 nucleotides) under Tupaia belangeri chinensis (Chinese tree shrew). Its description in RNAcentral is "Tupaia chinensis (Chinese tree shrew) microRNA tch-mir-23b precursor". Its record names the gene tch-mir-23b. It matches the Rfam family "mir-23 microRNA precursor family", at positions 9 to 65 of the family's 73-position model. The record is from miRBase by way of RNAcentral. Lineage: Eukaryota; Metazoa; Chordata; Mammalia; Scandentia; Tupaiidae.